Molecule: long non-coding RNA, 5567 nt
Organism: Falco peregrinus (peregrine falcon)
Lineage: Eukaryota; Metazoa; Chordata; Aves; Falconiformes; Falconidae
Exons: 10
Source: RefSeq, a predicted model, not a curated record
GCGGACGCUCCCUGGGGAUCUCCGGGUCCCCCCGCGGCCUGCUGGCGAUCGAAGCCCUGUGGGGGAGAGCGGGGGUGGCUGGAGCACCAGGGAGAGCAGUCGUGUGGGCCCGAAGGCGGCAGGGUUGUAAGGCUUCGCUUUGUAUUCACCUCCACAUCUUCCUUGUGAGCUUUUUAUGGUUUUUUCCUCCCUUAAAAACUUGUACACCAAGUAUUUCUUCCUGUACGUGCUUUUAGGGUGCUUUCUCUUCAGUGUUGUGUAUAUUGUCAGGAAUAUUUUAUCAGUUUUUCGUAGUGUAUCAAUGUUCAAAAGCUGCUUGAACAGCCCUUGCAGUGUGUGCCACUUCAUAGUGUAACGCUGCUGUAUCUACUUUGGUUUAAGGGUAUGAGCAAGGUCAGGUUUGUGGGAAGAAACAACAUUUUGUUAGGUUGCGUGGUGUAACUGGGUCUGGGGGAUGGAUAAAGUUUGGCCCCAAUUUGAUAAGUGAAGGUAUAAUAGUGCUGGCUUGUGGUAAUGUUCAUAGAAAGGCACUAACCAAAUUGGUACUACCAUGUGGGACAAACAACAUGAAAAGAAAGUUUUUAUCUUUAGGAAGGUAUAGAUUUUCUAAAGCCCAGCAUCUGCACUGAUAAUGGUCUUUUUGUAUAAUUCCAAACCCAACUUGCUUUCUCAAUAGGAAUGUUUUUUGAAGUGCACUAGAAAGCAGUACGCAUCGGCUUUGAUGUGACGGGGUUGCUGAUCUCAGGGAUGGGCUACAUGUCUGUGUUUCACAGCAAACGUGCAGGACUUUUGAAAUGAUCGGUUUUGUUUUCUGUGUAUGAAGUGGUCAGUAGUCUGAAAACUAGCUAUGUUUUUUUUUUCUAACCUUCGAUCCAAAAGUAUUACCAGUGUGGUGCAUUAAAUAAUGUAAUUUGAUAGAAGCCAGGUAAGAGCUAGCUGCAGGUGAAAGGGAGGGCCUGUGGUCUGCCCCAGCUUUGCACACCUGUUUGAGCACAGCCAUGCAUCUGGCUCCCAGGUGGACCAGUUCAUGGUGUGAAACUGUCAGGUUUGUAGAAAAAAGUGUUUUGUUCUCUCACUUUGCCUCUUGAAGCUGGUGUUUGUGGGUUUUAGCUGUUUGCCAAGAGGAGCUCUUAGGGUGGAGGAGAGGGGAGCUGGGCUUGGCUACUAGUGGCUUUUGGGAAGACUUAAUCGCUUCUUAGGAAAGACCCAAACCAGCAGUGGUUCUGUAUGGUAAUUUUAAGUUAACACAGGCUGUAAAGCCAGGUGAUGUUUUAUUCCUGCUAGCUAUAUCUGCUGAGUGGUUCAGUGUAUGUAUCAGGUCCUCUAAGUAAUAUUCAUACCUUGUGGGAUUUUCUGUGAAGUGUUUGGAGGUUUGCUGUUUUCUAAAGAGAGGAGACAUGACUUUGCUAUAGACAUGUAUUAAAUUUGGUUGUGUUAUGGAGAUCCUUGGUUAGUUUCUAAGUUGUUAUGUUCAAGUAAUCUCAGAGCAAAGAGAAUGGUUACCUGUUCAGUGGAAACUGAUAGGUGGAAUGACAGUCUCGGGGAGGGAAGGAAAGAAAGCUGUCUCUUAGACUUACGUAUUCUACCAUUUCCUACUGUAACUUACUCUGUAACUGUAACCUACCGUCCAUGAUGAAUAAAUGUCUUAUGCGCUAAUUAUCUUCGUUAAACUUAAAAACCUGGAGGUUGUUCAGAUUGAAAUCUGUGUAAUUCUGCACACUCUCUCUUCCCAGUAAACCAUUGCUUUCCUGUCUGCCCUGGCCCUCGGAGCUUUCCUGAGCAUCAGCAAACUAGAAGUGACCCCAUUCUGCCUCCCUUGGCAUUUGGAGAGCAGCAACAAAGUGGCAGCCCUUUGGAAAGUAAUUCAUAUAAGAAUAGAGGACGACAAGAAAACUACAAUGGACUUUGUUCAAAGCUUUUAUUUGCCAGGAGUCCAAGAAGUUGUGGCAGAGAGAAGGCAUCAGCCAACAUCGUCACACAGAGUGCCAGAGAGCAGCUGUUAUUUGCCGUUAGAUUUGAGCCUGCAACUACAUCCAAUUUGGAAUAUUGAAUAAGACAGCAGACACAUAUCUACAAGCAACUUCAUGCUGCCAAGGGCCCAGUAGACCUUGGUGGUGACUGGCAGUCUGGAGACAUAAUGAAGAAGCAGGGUCGAUGGGGUUCCAUGUCACUGGUGACCUCCAAAAAGAUUUGUGUGCUGGCUCUGCCAGCAGCAGUUCUCUGAUCAGUGUGAAUGCUGGAGAGAGAUUUGGUAAACAAAACCCACUUAACCUUGUUGCCGUGUUGGACAAUACCUGUGUCGCUGCUAGAAUCCACCCAGUUUGCAGAUGCAAGAAGAGCAAGCUUGUCUAAGCUACAUCAGUGUCUCACUUCAGCAGGAAGUGAAUGGAAACUAGUGUACCUGCGGAAAGCAGACUGGAGAUACUGGGUCUGAACUUCAGUUGUACUUAAACCUCUGAAGCAUGUUUCCCUUUUUAAAUGUUUGGUCUCCUUUCUUCCACUGGCUGCUGAAACAUCUCACUGUGAAGUGCAGUUGUGAAUGGCCCAACUCCUGCAUCCUGUGUAGCUGCAAAGGCUCUGUCCAGACAACGCCAUGUCCUUGGAAGAGCACAUAGCCCUCCUGGACUCUGGCUGCCACCACAUACUCCCUUUUUCUCAAGGCAAGCCUCUCCACUUGCACUUUGAAACCUUAUUAUGAGAGGACAGAUUGCACAGACUGCUGAGCCAUGAACUCAAGACUCUGAAGAUGUCCCAUUUUGGAAAGAAACAAGAUCCAGCUACUGGCACGUUCCCAAAGUUACACUCUUUGCUCCUACUUGCCUCCUCAGGUUCAUUGUUUGAUGGGAGAAAGCAGCCUGAAGGAACAGCCGGUCACAGCUCUCCUGCUCCCAGUCCUCAGACACAUAAAUACAGUUCUUCAUACCGCCCACUGUCCUUGUACCCAAAGACCCCUUCGGCCACUUCUGCCAGCUGAAUCGCUUUCACUGGCAGCUCAGCCAUGCUGGAGGAUAGCAGAACUUGAGGAACUGGAGCCUUUCAACUAAGCGGACUCUGAGGUCUUCCAACAAAGCAGACAGCUGAUGGGCUGGGCAGCCUCAGACAGCAUCUCCUGUUACGGAAUUCAAUUGCUUUCAUCUGUGUGUGCACUCUUCUACUGGCUUGCACAGCCCUGAGACUUGCAACAGUUUGUGGUCCCUCUCCAUACACAGUAGGACAAGAAUGGCGCUGUCCUGCAGUGAAGGUACCAGAUCUUCCCUGGAAAUGCUUGAUGAAGCAGUACAGAAUGUACAGCCUUGGGAGCCUUGCAUGUUUCCACUUUCAGAUUCUGCAUACCUACCAAGGUCUUCUCCAGCACUAGAAUGACGAUGGCCAUGACCAGGCUGCCUUUCAGCCCUGGGUCCCUGGCAGUAAGCAGGGCAUCAGGCUUGCCUCUGUGGCACUGUCAUACCCAGCUUCACAGGGAUGUGGUUUUCAGACACACAUCUGCAAGUAGACAGCAGUAGAAGUUUCAAAGAGUUUGUGGUCUGGCACUGCAACCCAGAGAAGCUCAUCAACCAUGAUAAACCUGACCUGUGGCGUGUAUGAAGUUAGCUACGCAUGCUGUGGUGUCAAAAGGCUGUCCGCUGGACUGGUGCAGCGGAGCACCAGGAGUGUGGCACUGCCAGGUGUCAGACCUCAUUUCAGCAGCAGAUGAGGAGAUUUCUGGAUCAGGAGGGGUUUAGGCACCUGAUGGAGUUGUGGUGCCAAAGGAUAGUGCUUUUUAGCAAGACCAAUUUCUUGUCAGGUCUGCAAAAUGAGGUUCAGCUGCCUUGUCACAAGAAGGUUAAGUGCUGCCACAGACAGAGUAAUGCUGGGUAAUACAGAGAGGAAGGGAGACAUGGGUAAAAGGAAUACCAACAGUAGAAAGAAAACAGCAUUUUUCAGUCUUGACCUUUACAAAAGUGCCUACCAGGUGAGUACUGGGUCCUUCAGUGGCUAGAAGUAGGUUUCAAGGUGGUGCUUGCUCACUCCCAGAUCAAUUUCCAAACACUGCAGAGGUCUGAGGAAGACUUGUGAUUUUGAUAUGAACCAGAGACCUGGUGAGGAAGAAGGAAGGAGAAAGCUGCAUGGUAACUGCAGCUUUGAAAAAUUAAUCUCAAGUACAUGAAAGUCAGGUUCCCCUUGCCCUGCAUAAUUGAAGUUUUGUAACUGCUUCCUUCAAAAAACUGCAGCUCCAUGUCAUAACACGCAAUUGUCUUGCACUACCCUAUCUGUAACAACAUUGCUGUAACAAAAUUGAUACAGUUUGCUGACUUUGUAUCUUUUUAGAUAAGUUUGCUCCUUGGAAUGAAGACAUUGUCUCAGGGAUUGUGGUAACAAGCCACUGGGAAGCCAUACAGCUGAGAAAAACCUGCAUUCUGUGAAAGGGACCUCUAGCUGGUGGCUGUUUGAAGGUGAGCAGGGUGGUGAGGUGUUUUCAGGGAAGGAGCUUCAAACCAGAUUGCCCUGAUUACAUGUCCCAACUACAUGUAUCAGAACUAAUACUGCUAAUAAGGGUAACUUGAAUCUGUAUGAAGGUGACCAUGAGCCAUGUUCCAGCCUUGACUAAAACUUCUCACUUGAAAAUAAUUAACUUGCACAAAAGAUGGUUUUUUCACAUUCUAGAGCAGAAAGAAAAAUAACAUUCUUACUACCAGUUCAUUAGGGAGUAUACUAACUUCACUGUCUUUCAAAACUGUCUUUGAAGUUUGGAUUUCUGAUUGUUUGGUUGCUUUUGUCAUUCUCCAGAAGCAUUCUUUUUUGCAGUUAUCUGUUUCUGAGUUAGAGUGUUCAGGGAGAAUACUUGCAACCUAUAGCAAGGCCACAGAUGUUUUUGUAUGAGGAUUGUGAUUUUGAUGAAGAGCUUUUUGGCACUCUGAUAAUGUUUGAUAAAUUGGCAGUAAAAUGUCCAGGUAUUGCCUGGUUACGUUCCAUAAAGUAAAUGGCACGAUUUGGUGAUGCCCUGUGCUGAGGAGCUGGAUGACUCGGGGGUUGCCAUUCACUGUUGCAGUGGUGCUCCCUUGCGCUGCCCGAAGUCUGGAAACCUGUGAGCUGGGGGCAAUUGAUCUCAUUUGUACCAAAGUGUGUUCAGAUGGAGUGAAACCAUGGAGAGUUCAAAUAGCAAACAAAAAGCUGCAGAGUGAAGUGGGGCACUGCUAUACCUUGGUGCAGGUUUCUGUUACUGGUUGUGUGGACCAAGGACUUUGCUGCUGCUUCCUUUUGGUUUGAAAAAUAUGGAAAUUGGUGAAGCCCCCAACUUCCAUUACUAUUUUUUUUUUCUGGAGUUGAAUAUAGGAGGGAAUUAUGGAAAUGUACUGAAUUUUCUUUACUAAAAUUUGUUGUAUUUCAUAAUUAUAUACAGGGCGGGUUGCCUGUUGCUUUUUUGAAUUUUUGUGUUUUGAAUGGUUGGAUUCACAAAUCAUUAGUAGAGACUCAGCAAAGCUAAAUGUUUUUAAGGAGAUGUGGGGAAAAUUGCUUCCUAGUGAUUCAUUCCAUUGCAUUAGAUAUGAUUAUGAAAAGAUAAAUAAAACUUCUGAAUUUACCUAGCA